UCAUUAUCAAGACUAUACUUAACAUCUUCCUUCUCAGAUAACCGCUUCUUCAUUUGGUUACACUCAUCCGUCUUGAGUUGUACCUCCUUGACUCUUUCUAUGAUGGUAGAUUGCAUCUCCGUCGCAAAGAGUAAUUGCCCCGAAUCACUCGGCAUCUUCACUUCUAUUUCCAUCCUAGCCAUCUCUGUUAUUAACUCAUUUUGAGCCGUUAACAUAGACAACUUUUCCCGACC
RNAcentral lists this long non-coding RNA (233 nucleotides) under Panax ginseng (ginseng). RNAcentral describes it as "long non-coding RNA (PGIN_LNC014743)". The record is from RNAcentral. Lineage: Eukaryota; Viridiplantae; Streptophyta; Magnoliopsida; Apiales; Araliaceae.